Molecule: ribosomal RNA, 1587 nt
Filed under: Triticum aestivum (bread wheat)
Lineage: Eukaryota; Viridiplantae; Streptophyta; Magnoliopsida; Poales; Poaceae
Description: partial small subunit ribosomal RNA
Source: RNAcentral
AUGGUGGCGGUCGCGGCUGGGAGGCGGCCCGUGCUCAGCCGCCGGAGGUCCGGCUGCGGUGCCGGCCAGCAGCAGCUGCAGCACCCGCAGGCGCAGCAACGGCGGAUGCUGGCGGUCGCCGUCGCCGCGCGCGUCGCCGCCGCGAAGCCCGCGGCCACGGAGGCCGCUUUGUAUGGCGGCGGCGGCGGCGACGGGUGCUGCGUCGAUUUUCUCGUUUGCCUGCUCCGGGGGCUCGGCGUGACCCCCGCAAGCGCGGGGCCUGCGCAGUUCAAGUGGGCCGCUCGACCGCUGCGGCGGAAGCGGAACGGGGGUUCCUCGCCAAGCGGCGCCUCCGCCGAGGAAAGGCGUCCCGGGCUUAUUAGGGACGCGCCCGGACGCAUCGCCGGCAACGGCGCCUGCGCUAGCGCCUCACUUUACACGAUGCAGGGCAAGAAGGGGGUCAACCAGGACGCCAUGGUUGUCGUGGAGAAUUUUGGUUCAAAAGAUGGUACCAUCUUUUGUGGUGUUUUUGAUGGCCAUGGACCACAAGGUCAUUUGGUUUCCAAGAUGGUCAGAGAUCUUCUCCCUGUGAAGUUGAGUGCAAAUAUAGCCAGGGAUGAAUACAAAGAGUUGUCAAAUAACACUGUCACAAAUGGGACAACUGAAGGAGAUGCUGUGCAAACUGUGGUUGAAGAUACCGAUGCUACCCUUGGAGCUUUAGAGAAUGGAGGGUACCCAGAAAUCUUCACAGCAUUGAGAACUUCAUUCUUGAGGGCAUUUUAUGUAAUGGACAGGGAUUUGAAGUCACAUAAAAAUAUUGAUUGUCUGUUCAGUGGAACCACAGCAGUCACAUUGAUCAAGCAGGGGCAGGAUCUUAUAAUCGGCAACUUGGGGGACUCUAGAGCUAUAUUGGCCACUAAAGAUGAGGAUAAUCACCUUUUUGCUCUUCAACUGACAGUCGAUCUCAAACCAAGCAUCCCAAGUGAAGCAGCACGGAUCAGGGAACGGAAGGGCAGAGUAUUUUCUCUCCCAAACGAGCCAGAUGUUACUCGUGUUUGGCUUCCGAAGUACAACUCCCCAGGGUUGGCCAUGGCAAGAGCGUUUGGAGACUUUUGUCUAAAGAGUUAUGGUGUAAUUUCUGUUCCUGAUGUUUCGUACCAUCACAUCACAGAAAAGGAUGAGUUCGUUGUGUUGGCGACUGAUGGGGUGUGGGAUGUACUUUCAAACGAUGACGUCGUUAAGAUUGUCAGUGAAUCCACUUCAGAGGCCUCAGCAGCAAGGCUUCUUGUCCAAACGGCUCACCGUACGUGGAGAACACGGUUUCCCACAGCAAAAGUUGAUGACUGCGCCGCUGUCUGUCUAUUCUUGAAAACAGAUUUGACAAAUAAAUCGUCCGAUUCAGGAACCAAAGAUUUCGCAACUAAUGUGGAACUGGACGGUGGUAAGCAUUUCUCGACUGUCAAAUCAAGCACUGUGGUUCCUACAGAUCUUGCUACCGCAUUCGUAACAGGUAAUGAGUGGCCUGUCCUUAGCGGCGACCCAAUGCCUGCCACUCCGACAAAUUUGCUGACGCCUACUUCAGCUGCAAACCAAAGCAUGAAAGGUUGA